This 274-nucleotide ribosomal RNA is filed under the name uncultured bacterium. RNAcentral's name for it is "partial 16S ribosomal RNA". It matches the Rfam family "Bacterial small subunit ribosomal RNA", at positions 523 to 796 of the family's 1533-position model. The record is from RNAcentral.
CUACGAAGGGAGCUAGCGUUGUUCGGAAUUGCUGGGCGUAAAGCGCACGUAGGCGGAUUGAUUAGUUAGGGGUGAAAUCCCAGGGCUUAACCCUGGAACUGCCUCUAAUACUGUCAGUCUAGAGAUCGAGAGAGGUGAGUGGAAUUCCGAGUGUAGAGGUGAAAUUCGUAGAUAUUCGGAGGAACACCAGUGGCGAAGGCGGCUCACUGGCUCGAUACUGACGCUGAGGUGCGAAAGCGUGGGGAGCAAACAGGAUUAGAUACCCUUGUAGUCC